UCAGUCAGUCAGGUAAAAAGCGAGCCUAAGCCCAGAGGGCAGCGCAAGAGUACAGAACUGAAAAACAAAAUGAAUCCAGAAAUGAUCAGCUGAUAAGAUCUCAUAAGAUAAAAUUGUCAGCCAUCAGGUCAGAAGCGUAGUAGCUGUCUAGUCUCAGGAUUCUGCGUUGAGAGAGCACUUGCCGUGUUACUGGUAGUUGAAGCAGGAGAAUGGAAGCCAGAAAAGUAGACAGCUCAGAUAUCCAGACAGAUGAAGGGCAAGCG
Non-coding RNA from Podarcis muralis (Common wall lizard), 263 nucleotides. The record is from RefSeq and is a predicted model, not a curated record. NCBI's taxonomy places the organism in Eukaryota, Metazoa, Chordata, Lepidosauria, Squamata, Lacertidae.